CUGCGAGUGUGUGUGCCGAACGAGGAGCAAGGAGCUUGUGCGAGCGAGUGUGCGAGCGGGGGUGCGCGUGUGAGUGUGCGUGCGCGUGGCGCGGGCGCCGUCGCUGCUCGGAGCCUGGCCGGGCCGGGGUCCGCGGGCUUCAGCGCGUGCGCUCGGCCUGCGGGGAGCCCAGGUCCCACGCGGCCGGCAGCCAGUCAGGGCUGCGAAGGUGCAGGCCGGCCAAGCGCUGCGGACCCGGCGGGCUGCAGGAAGAACUAACUAUACCCCGAACAUCCGCUGUCAGCAGGCACGAGACUGUGAUUCAAGAUGAGCGGCCGAAGCAUCCCCUGCGUGUGUGAAGAAGAUCCAGCAAGAGGAGGAAGCAGGGUUCCUGAAAGCCAGGCUGACGACGAAAAAUCCUGUGCUGAGUUAACGUGGGUGUCUGAAUGGGCAGAAUCGGUGUAUGAACAGGCCGCCCCACCCCCACCCUGGCAGGGAUACACUGUGAGGUCAAAGCUGGACCCUGUGUCUGUCUUCAGGACACGAACCAAUUUAAAAAGAAAUCAUUCACUUAAAAAGACUUUUUAAAUCAGCUUCCACUGGUGCAGACUGACUGGUUAAUAUCAUGUCAACUUAACGUAUUCUGAAAAUAAGGGUUACUAACUUUCACAGACAACCAGUGGGCUCAGGGAGCCAUGAAGCUGUCUCGGGAAUGCAUACAAGACACAUAUAGAUGAAGCUGGACGCUUGUCAGACGUGUGAACUAAGUCCCUGUAACCAAGGGAGGAAGUGAUCACAUCACCUCAUUGGCUCUGCAGAUCUAAGUCAACUCAAAAAAGGCAAGCAUGGCCCAGAGUCGGAUGCACCCUCAGAUUCAGCAGCCGGCCACCGGCAUCCCCUUUUCCCCCUUCCACGGUGGUACAUGGAAUAAAAACACGCCCCGGGCUUGCUGGAAUACCAAGGAAACAUUCAUGCCCAUGGAAAGAGGAGCCUUCACUAACCUUGAGUGGGAGAGAACCAGCCAGGGCCUCUGAGGCACAUGGAAAUACUUGUCUGAAGGAGUUGGCUCUUAGAAGUCACAGCACAGAUGCCUGAAGCAGAAGGAGAAGCACCUGUAGUGGCUGUCACCCUGCAGGCACCUCUGUUACUGGAGUCGCCAAGAGACAGUAUUACAGAAGCCUUGGAAGUGAGAGUGCUCCCCUAAGGAGAGGUCCAGGAACCUGUUGCUAAGGGGCCAGCAUGGCAGUGCCCCUGCUGGGCCUGCUUAGAAGGAGCCCCGGUGCUUAGUGGUUCCUUUCUGAAGCCUAGGCUAAGAAUUCUACAUGGCUUCAUCCUCUGCUCUACUCAAGCAAAGAGGAGCUUCAACUGCUGGGUCUAAGGCACACGUGGAUGUUGGAGCUCAGCUCAACAACUGGGAAUGGAGGACCUCUCCAGAGCCCCAGAAGACCCCCGCCCGGGUGUGUGUGACAUCAGUUGGGGAGCUAUUAAUAACUGCCCUCCCCCCCCCCGUCAUAUUUCCUGAACUGUGUGGGGAAGGCGAUUGUGAGGCGCUCUGCUGGAAUUUGGCAGCGCGGAGGCUUGGAGAGCAGCCCCAUGCUGGCUCCUAUUCAGCCGGCCAGUUUUCCUCGAGCUUUGGAAGUUUCACUCAGCCGUGCACUCAAUGGCUUCACAAAGCUGAUUACAAGCUUCAGCGCAUUCCUGAAGGAGCCAAAAGCGACGCAGGUGCAAACGAGCCGAGGGAGCCCCUUAUCCCGGUGACAGAAUGGGACAAGCUGGGAAAGGCUUGGACCACACAAAUCCAAGGCUCACCAGGCAGCAGAGAGCCUGCCUUGGGAACCGGGGGUCAUUAUCCGCCCUAUUCAGCGGGGCCGGGGACCCUGGGGCCCGGGAGGCCGGCCGGGCGCAAGCGCCACCGCCAGUGCGCGCCCACAGCAGUGGGGACCCCGCUGGGCGUUGCAACCCGUCGGGAUGUUGGGCGCUGCGUUUGUUCCCACCGACAGCGGUCGGCGAAAUCCAUCCUGCUGGUGAAAGCCGGUGUCCAGGCUAACUCGGAUACAGGAGAACGAGGGUAGCGAAGAUGCUCAGUGCGUGGACAGUGCGUAAUUUCGUCUCCAUCACAGUCACUUAUCUGGAAACCUGCGGCUGGAUUAAUCGCUAUAUUCCCAAGAUGAGCGGUGCUGCAAUCCGCAGUGAACACGGGUGGGAACAUGGAAACUUCCCCCAGGUUCUUGCGGGGGCCAGCAGCUGGCCUGCUCCCUGCAGUGGCUGCUGCACAGUUGCUAGCACCUGUUUGGGCUCGGGUUGGGGGUCCACGGGCACUUAGGCGCACAGAAGAUGUGGAAGAGGAGAAGGAAACAGGCCUGUGGGGACUCCGGCCUGAGAGAGGUUGGUUAGCUCUCAGUAAAGGCACAGAACUGCCUAUGUAAAGAGCUUUUUAACCUGAAAACGGUGCUGCCAAAUCUUCAGACAGUGGUCUAUUCAGAUGCAGAAAAAUGUUCCCUCCCAUCUUGAUCUCCCAGUCUCACCCCUACCACGCCCACUGCUGCGCCUUAGGCCCCUCCCCUGGAAUUUCCUCUUUCGGGAUCCUGGUCCUCCAAGGGUUAGUAAUAUUUACUUAGGAACUGUGAGCAUGGAAAUAAGUCCUAGUUGUCCAGCCCCUUGUCCUACCUAUUCGAGGUAAAGACUGUAUAGGCUGUAGCCGGGCAGUGGUGGCAGACGCCUUUAAUCCCAGCACUUGGGAGGCAGAGACAGGUGGAUUUCUGAGUUCGAGGCCAGCCUGGUCUACAGAGUGAGUUCCAGGACAGCCAGGACUGUACAGAGAAACCUUGUCUCGAAAAACCAAAAAUAAAAAUAAAAAAAUAAAAUAAAAAGGAUGGUGUGGACUGUGUGGUGCCAAAGCUCUAGGGAGAAUACUUGUCUACAAAAACUUUCUCUGCUGAGGUCAAAGCAUCAGAUUCGAGGGAAAUACCACUUGGUGCUGGAGGUCCCUGGGCCUGGGCAACGAUGUCUCUGUAGGUGUGAAAAGCCGGGCAUAGGACGCAGGCAUGAAAACUGUGUGCCUCCAUUUUGGCAGCAUAUUAAACAUCCAAGAGGUACCUGGCCACCACAUAUGGCCCCUGAGCAUCCAACAUUCAGAAUGUCAUACACAUAGAUUUUAAAGUUGCUGAAUGAGAAAGAGAUCAUUGAUUACUUGAGAUGUUGGCUACAGAAAUGACGGUGCUUGGGAUGUCUUGGGUUAAAGAAACCACAUUGAGCCUCACUGCCGGCUGCUCUUGGAAGUCACUGUGGCCUUGGUAGCUCCUCUUUGCUGGCUCUGUGCCUUUCAGCGGCUUUCUGUGGUCUUUCCAUGAUCCUCUAUGAAAUGGAAAAGGAAGACAUAAAUGUAAAGAACUGAGCUUGUGAUCACUAGAGGCAGCCCCCUGCGCCCCUCCCAACUCCUCUCAAAGUUACUCUUGUAACAAUCAAAGCUUCCUUGCUUGCAGCAGCAGAAAGAAGUACACCUUGUAUUUACUGCUGGGAUUGUAUUCUUUCUAGUUUAGCUUUAAUUCUGUUUAAUUACAUUGUGAUCAUUAACCGUGCUGCAACUUUUUGUUACUAGAUAUUUUCUUUAUUUACAUUUCAAAUGUUAUCCUUCUUCCUAGUUUCCCCUAUGAAAACCCCCUAUCCCAUCCCCACUCCCACUGCUCCCCCAACCUACCAACUCCUGCUUCCUUGUCCUGGUAUUCCCCCACACUGGGGCAUUAAACCUUCACAUCGAACCUCUCCUUCCACUGAUGUCCAACAAGGCCAUUCCCUUCUACAGGUGCCCACACAGUCAUCUCGAAAACAGAAAGAAGCGAAAUUGAUUUUAGAAGCAGUGUCAGAGAAUUUGAAUGUAUUUACAGACAGGGAGCCAUGGGUCCCUCCACGUGGAGAUCCAAAGACAAAGUGGAGAACAGAGACGGAAGGAAAGGCCAUCCAGAGACUGCCCCACCUGGGGAUCCAUCGAGUAUACAGCUACCAAACUCAGCUACUACUGUGAAUGCCUACAGGUGCUUACUGCAGCUUUUGAAGAAUCUUGCUACUACUGCUGGGUGAUGGAGGAGCUUUGAUUCCAGGGGCGCCUGUGUGAAUCCCAUGGCAUUAUAAGGAAACUUCUCUCUGCUAUUUAGUCAGCACUUGAUGCUUUCUGGCUUUAAUUUUGCCUUACAAAUGAGUGUAACUGCCACCACUCAAACAAAACAAAAUUCUGAACAGAAAUCUGUCUUCUGUGAACAGGGUCUGUACCAAUCAAGAGUGAGUUCCUUCUCAGAAUUCCUCUUGGGGCUAACACAAAGCUUUAGAACUAUAUGAAAUGAGACUUGGUCCAAGGAGGCCAUGAAGGAGCAUGUUCAUAAAUCUGUUUUACAUGUAUUCAUUGACAUUUAUUCAUGCCCUGGGAGUGUGCUUGGCACGGUGAACACAGAGAUCAGAGGACAGUCUUCAGGAGUCACUCAUUUCCUACCAGCCUGUAGGUCCCAGGGAUCUAACUCAGGCCACCUGGCUUGGCACCAACUGCCUUUGAGAUGUUGAGCCAUCAUACCAAUUCAAGUAAACUUUAAUAUUAAAGAUUUCAAAGUACUCUGUAUAAUAUUUUAGAUACCAGAUGUCUGAAAGUAAAGUUGUAAAAAGUCAAAAUUUUAUUUAGUCAUUUGGCUUAUAAGAAAUGAAAAAAACCUGCUCCAUGCUUAUUGUCCUUAAUAUAGUCUAUUAAAGCACGCCAUGAAAAUUUUACAUGAAUAAGCUUGGAGUAUAUACAAUAUCGUUCAAUUUAUUUACUUUGGGUAUUGUAUAACCAAUAUGAAAAAAAAUUGGGAAAAUGUGAAGUUAAAUCCACUAUGUCAAUAAACUGAAAGUAUCUCAGAGAUAAAUUUUGAAUAAAA
RNAcentral lists this long non-coding RNA (4880 nucleotides) under Mus pahari (shrew mouse). RNAcentral describes it as "lncRNA (MGP_PahariEiJ_G0033081.1)". Lineage: Eukaryota; Metazoa; Chordata; Mammalia; Rodentia; Muridae. The record is from RNAcentral.